GUGCAGUCGACGGAGCACCCCUGACGGAGUUUUCGGACAACGAAAGGGAAUGCUUAGUGGCGGACGGGUGAGUAACGCGUGAGUAACCUGCCUUGGAGUGGGGAAUAGCAGCCGGAAACGGCUGCUAAUACCGCAUGAUGUAUCUGGAUCGCAUGGUUCUGGAUACCAAAGAUUUAUUGCUCUGAGAUGGACUCGCGUCUGAUUAGCUAGUUGGUGAGGUAACGGCUCACCAAGGCGACGAUCAGUAGCCGGACUGAGAGGUUGGCCGGCCACAUUGGGACUGAGACACGGCCCAGACUCCUACGGGAGGCAGCAGUGGGGAAUAUUGGGCAAUGGGCGAAAGCCUGACCCAGCAACGCCGCGUGAAGGAAGAAGGCCCUCGGGUUGUAAACUUCUUUUGUCAGGGACGAAGCAAGUGACGGUACCUGACGAAUAAGCCACGGCUAACUACGUGCCAGCAGCCGCGGUAAUACGUAGGUGGCAAGCGUUAUCCGGAUUUACUGGGUGUAAAGGGCGUGUAGGCGGGAGUGCAAGUCAGAUGUGAAAACUAUGGGCUCAACCCAUAGCCUGCAUUUGAAACUGUACUUCUUGAGUGAUGGAGAGGCAGGCGGAAUUCCCUGUGUAGCGGUGAAAUGCGUAGAUAUAGGGAGGAACACCAGUGGCGANNNCGGCCUGCUGGACAUUAACUGACGCUGNNNCGCGAAAGCGUGGGGAGCAAACAGGAUUAGAUACCCUGGUAGUCCACGCCGUAAACGAUGGAUACUAGGUGUGGGGGGUCUGACCCCCUCCGUGCCGCAGUUAACACAAUAAGUAUCCCACCUGGGGAGUACGAUCGCAAGGUUGAAACUCAAAGGAAUUGACGGGGGCCCGCACAAGCGGUGGAGUAUGUGGUUUAAUUCGAAGCAACGCGAAGAACCUUACCAGGACUUGACAUCCUACUAACGAAGCAGAGAUGCAUAAGGUGCCCUUCGGGGAAAGUAGAGACAGGUGGUGCAUGGUUGUCGUCAGCUCGUGUCGUGAGAUGUUGGGUUAAGUCCCGCAACGAGCGCAACCCUUAUUGUUAGUUGCUACGCAAGAGCACUCUAGCGAGACUGCCGUUGACAAAACGGAGGAAGGUGGGGACGACGUCAAAUCAUCAUGCCCCUUAUGUCCUGGGCCACACACGUACUACAAUGGCGGUCAACAGAGGGAAGCAAAGCCGCGAGGUGGAGCAAAUCCCUAAAAGCCGUCCCAGUUCGGAUUGCAGGCUGAAACUCGCCUGUAUGAAGUCGGAAUCGCUAGUAAUCGCGGAUCAGCAUGCCGCGGUGAAUACGUUCCCGGGCCUUGUACACACCGCCCGUCACACCAUGAGAGUCGGGAACACCCGAAGUCCGUAGCCUAACAGCAAUGGGGCGCGGCCGAAGGA
RNAcentral lists this ribosomal RNA (1405 nucleotides) under Intestinimonas butyriciproducens. Its description in RNAcentral is "bacterial SSU rRNA". It matches the Rfam family "Bacterial small subunit ribosomal RNA". Lineage: Bacteria; Bacillati; Bacillota; Clostridia; Eubacteriales. The record is from RNAcentral.